GGGCGGUUAGCAUAUCGGUUAGUGCUUAGUGGUGCGCACCCAAUUAAUAUAAUUGAGGUCGGUUCGAUUCCGACACUGCCCACAA
This 85-nucleotide transfer RNA is filed under the name Parabacteroides distasonis ATCC 8503. RNAcentral's name for it is "tRNA-Ala-CGC-1-1". Lineage: Bacteria; Pseudomonadati; Bacteroidota; Bacteroidia; Bacteroidales; Tannerellaceae. RNAcentral also lists the same sequence under 1 other name. The record is from RNAcentral.